Molecule: transfer RNA, 60 nt
Filed under: Streptomyces eurythermus
Lineage: Bacteria; Bacillati; Actinomycetota; Actinomycetes; Kitasatosporales; Streptomycetaceae
Also listed under: 2 other names
Description: tRNA-Ser
Source: RNAcentral
GCCCCCGGUGGAACCGGACCUGUAAAGCGAAGGUCGUCGGUUCGAAUCCGACAGGGGGCU